GAUGAAGAACGUAGCGAAAUGCGAUAACUAAUGUGAAUUGCAGAAUUCCGUGAAUCAUCGAGUCUUUGAACGCACAUUGCGCCCCCUGGUAUUCCGGGGGGCAUGCCUGUUCGAGCGUCAUUUCACCACUCAAGCCUCGCUUGGUAUUGGGCAACGCGGUCCGCCGCGUGCCUCAAAUCGACCGGCUGGGUCUUCUGUCCCCUAAGCGUUGUGGAAACUAUUCGCUAAAGGGUGCUCGGGAGGCUACGCCGUAAAACAAACCCAUUUCUAAGGUUGACCUCGGAUCAGGUAGGGAUACCCGCUGAACUUAAGCAUAUCAAUAAGCGGAGGA
Molecule: unclassified non-coding RNA, 331 nt
Filed under: soil metagenome
Description: partial contains 5.8S ribosomal RNA, internal transcribed spacer 2, and large subunit ribosomal RNA
Rfam family: 5.8S ribosomal RNA (bases 1-120)
Source: RNAcentral